UACGGGAGGGGCAAGAGUUAUUCGGCUUGACUGGGCGUAAUGGGUUCUUAGACUGUAAAAUAAGUUACUUGUUAAACUUUAAAGCUUAACUUUAAAUCAGCUUGUAAUACUGUUUUACUUGAGUUUUAUACAGAAGAGUAGAAUUUUAUACGUAAGGGUAAAAUCUAAAGAUAUAUAAAGGAAUGCCGGUAGCGAAGGCGACUCUGUGGUAAAAACUGACGGUGAGGAACGAAAGUAUGGGGAGCAAACAGG
Molecule: ribosomal RNA, 252 nt
Filed under: uncultured bacterium
Lineage: Bacteria
Description: partial 16S ribosomal RNA
Rfam family: Bacterial small subunit ribosomal RNA
Source: RNAcentral